This is a long non-coding RNA of Rhincodon typus (whale shark), 315 nucleotides long. RefSeq lists it as uncharacterized. The transcript is spliced from 3 exons. The record is from RefSeq and is a predicted model, not a curated record. Lineage: Eukaryota; Metazoa; Chordata; Chondrichthyes; Orectolobiformes; Rhincodontidae.
CGGAAAGGGAAAGUAGCGCGAGCCUGCGCGGCUGGGUACAUUGUCGUGCUUGGAAGUUCUAGGUAAUUAUGUAAUGAGUCUACUCCAUGCCUCUCCUUCAAAGUGGAGAGUAUGUACAUGAAAUAAAAGAUGGUGAAAGCUUUGUAAUUCCCGUCACCGACUCCUGUUUGCCCUCUCGGUCACCGAACAACAUGCCGUGCUGGAGUGGUAAGGAGCCCAUAAUCCAGAACCUAGACCAGUAUUCUGAGGAUGUCUGUUUGAGUCACACCAUGGCAGAUUGUACAAUCUGAAUUCAAUAAAAGUCUGGAAUUAAAA